Molecule: ribosomal RNA, 301 nt
Filed under: uncultured bacterium
Lineage: Bacteria
Description: partial 16S ribosomal RNA
Rfam family: Bacterial small subunit ribosomal RNA
Source: RNAcentral
CAGCCGCCACGGUAAUACGGAGGGAGCUAGCGUUGUUCGGAAUUACUGGGCGUAAAGCGCACGUAGGCGGUUAUUCAAGUCAGAGGUGAAAGCCCGGGGCUCAACCCCGGAACUGCCUUUGAAACUAGAUGACUGGAAUCUUGGAGAGGUCAGUGGAAUUCCGAGUGUAGAGGUGAAAUUCGUAGAUAUUCGGAAGAACACCAGUGGCGAAGGCGACUGACUGGACAAGUAUUGACGCUGAGGUGCGAAAGCGUGGGGAGCAAACAGGAUUAGAUACCCCAGUAGUCCCUGUCUCUUAUAC